Non-coding RNA from Oncorhynchus mykiss (rainbow trout), 872 nucleotides. The record is from RefSeq and is a predicted model, not a curated record. NCBI's taxonomy places the organism in Eukaryota, Metazoa, Chordata, Actinopteri, Salmoniformes, Salmonidae.
GAUGAGGACACGGAGGUCACCCUCCUAGAGGAACCAGAGCCUGACCACCAACCUAUCAGAAAGGUUAGUGAUGAGGACACGGAGGUCACCUUCCUAGAGGAACCAGAGCCUGACCACCAACCUAUCAGAAAGGUUAGUGAUGAGGACACGGAGGUCACCCUCCUAGAGGAACCAGAGCCUGACCACCAACCUGUCAGGAAGGUUAAGAUGACUCUAAGACAGAAUAGAAUACUGGCUAUCCACUGAGAAAUCAAGAAACUUUCCAUAAUACUACCCAAAGAUACUGUCUGUUGAUUGGAGAUACUAUCUGUUGAUUGGAGAUACUGGCUGUUGAUUGGAGAUACUGGCUGUUGAUUUGGAGAUACUGGCUGUUGAUUUGGAGAUACUGGCUGUUGAUUGAAGAUACUGGCUGUUGAUUGGAGAUACUGGCUGUUGAUUGGAGAUACUGGCUGUUGAUUGGAGAUACUGGCUGUUGAUUGGAGAUACUGGCUGUUGAUUGAAGAUACUGGCUGUUGAUUGGAGAUACUGGCUGUUGAUUUGGAGAUACUGGCUGUUGAUUUGGAGAUACUGGCUGUUGAUUGGAGAUACUGGCUGUUGAUUGGAGAUACUGGCUGUUGAUUGGAGAUACUGGCUGUUGAUUGGAGAUACUGGCUGUUGAUUGGAGAUACUGGCUGUUGAUUGGAGAUACUGGCUGUUGAUUGGAGAUACUGGCUGUUGAUUGGAUAUACUGGCUGUUGAUUGGAGAUACUGGCUGUUGAUUGGAGAUACUGGCUGUUGAUUGGAGAUACUGGCUGUUGAUUGGAGAUACUGGCUGUUGAUUAAGACAUCAAAGUAAUGCUCAAGAGCCUAAAUGGUUUUAAUGAUAAAGGUAC